Molecule: long non-coding RNA, 584 nt
Filed under: Prunus dulcis (almond)
Lineage: Eukaryota; Viridiplantae; Streptophyta; Magnoliopsida; Rosales; Rosaceae
Description: sRNA ncRNA
Source: RNAcentral
GAAAAGGUUGAAUAUUCUGACCAUUCUUCUGCAAUAGUGAUGUUUUCGGGGUUUCCUGGAAAUUGCUGGGUCUAAAUGUUCUCAGCGCAUGUCUCUAUCUUGUUGUAUUGCUGUUUGUUUCCUCUGCGUACCUUUUCUUUUGGGGCCCUUGGAAUGAAUUCCCUUUCUGACCCAACAAAGGAAGAAUUAAAUGGUGGGGACUAAAAUGACUACAUCAUGCCAAACUCUUGCAACAAAACCAUAUCUUUUGGCCGAUAAUGUUGAUCCAAUGAUAAGUACAUCAUCCAAAGUAAAAUAAAAAUGUUCGUGCUGUUAGGAAAUUACGCAGAUUUCCCUAUAAACCAGAUUAGUGAGAAUGCGAAAUAACAGAAGAAAUAAGACACACAGAUUUGAUAACGGAGUUCAGCCAAUUGUGCCUACGUCUCCGGACCUGCUGCAGAUCAUUUUACUAAAGGGAGAAAAUAUACAAAGUGUUUACAACACUCACAACUCACAACCCACCCCGAAUUAUACUAAGAAUUUUUCUCACAAAAUUCUUUCACAAGCUUUGCUCUUAAGCUUUUCUCUCAAACUCUCUCUUAUUC